GCAAGUCGAACGGAUGUCUUCGGACAUUAGUGGCGGACGGGUGAGUAACGCGUGAGAAUCUAGCUUCAGGUUGGGGACAACAGUUGGAAACGACUGCUAAUACCGAAUGUGUUGAAAGGUGAAAGAUUUAUUGCCUGAAGAAGAGCUCGCGUCUGAUUAGCUAGUUGGUGGGGUAAGAGCUUACCAAGGCGACGAUCGGUAGCUGGUCUGAGAGGACGAUC
Molecule: ribosomal RNA, 221 nt
Filed under: uncultured bacterium
Lineage: Bacteria
Description: partial 16S ribosomal RNA
Rfam family: Bacterial small subunit ribosomal RNA
Source: RNAcentral